RNAcentral lists this long non-coding RNA (313 nucleotides) under Triticum aestivum (bread wheat). RNAcentral's name for it is "long non-coding RNA (TAES_LNC026773)". The record is from RNAcentral. Lineage: Eukaryota; Viridiplantae; Streptophyta; Magnoliopsida; Poales; Poaceae.
UUGUUUUCAAAUCAGUUCAAUUCAAAUAACAGCACAUAUAUAACAACACAUAUCAGCACAUAUCAACGAACGUAAGCAUAAGCAUCAUCACAACAAUAGAUCAUCAUCACACAAGCAUAAGCAUCAUCACAACAAUAGAUCAUCAUCACACAAGCAUAAGCAUAUCAACGAACGUAAGCAUAAGCAUAAGCAUCAUCACACAAGUCAUCUAAAUGAUCAUCAGCACACAAAAGUCAUCUCAAGCAUCAUCAUCACAUCUCAAGCAUCAUCGAGCACCGCGGAGGUCAUCACCGCCAAGACCGCCGAAGCCCAG